AUACUUAUCUGGCAGGGGAGAUACCAUGUUCACGAAAGUGGUUUUCCAAGGGCCAGGUUUAUCCAUUGCACUCUGGAUGUGCUGAUCCCCGUGAUUUGCCCAUAUGUGGGAAACUUGACUGCGUAAUUUGUGUAGUGAGAGAUUGUGUUCACGCUUUCCUUUG
This 163-nucleotide small nuclear RNA is filed under the name Colobus angolensis palliatus. RNAcentral describes it as "U1 spliceosomal RNA (ENSCANG00000000063.1)". It matches the Rfam family "U1 spliceosomal RNA". From Rfam's summary of the family: U1 is a small nuclear RNA (snRNA) component of the spliceosome (involved in pre-mRNA splicing). Its 5' end forms complementary base pairs with the 5' splice junction, thus defining the 5' donor site of an intron. The record is from Rfam by way of RNAcentral. Lineage: Eukaryota; Metazoa; Chordata; Mammalia; Primates; Cercopithecidae.